UUCUAGUCACUAGUGCCAGAAAUCCUGUAUUUAUCCACAGAGCAAGUAUUAGUAUGGAUCUGCAGCAGAGGCCUUCCCACACCAGCCUACCAGUGUGCCUCACCCUUAUUCUAGCUGGACUAAAGCUCAGGGUGAGAAUGCUGCUGAUGCUUUAGACCAGGGGUCGGCAACCUCU
Molecule: small RNA, 175 nt
Filed under: Gopherus agassizii (Agassiz's desert tortoise)
Lineage: Eukaryota; Metazoa; Chordata; Testudines; Testudinidae
Description: TUC338 (ENSGAGG00000002205.1)
Source: RNAcentral